RNAcentral lists this ribosomal RNA (253 nucleotides) under uncultured bacterium. RNAcentral's name for it is "partial 16S ribosomal RNA". It matches the Rfam family "Bacterial small subunit ribosomal RNA", at positions 524 to 776 of the family's 1533-position model. The record is from RNAcentral.
UACGUAGGGUGCGAGCGUUAUCCGGAAUUACUGGGUUUAAAGGGUGCGUAGGCGGCUAUGUAAGUCAGGUGUGAAAGUUUGCGGCUCAACCGUAAAAUUGCUUUUGAUACUGCAUGGCUGGAAUCAGGAUGAGGUCAGCGGAAUGUGGCAUGUAGCGGUGAAAUGCAUAGAUAUGCCAUAGAACACCAAUUGCGAAGGCAGCUGGCUAGACCUGUAUUGACGCUGAGGCACGAAAGCGUGGGGAGCGAACAGG